RNAcentral lists this ribosomal RNA (440 nucleotides) under uncultured bacterium. Its description in RNAcentral is "partial 16S ribosomal RNA". It matches the Rfam family "Bacterial small subunit ribosomal RNA", at positions 338 to 795 of the family's 1533-position model. The record is from RNAcentral.
CCUACGGGCGGCAGCAGUAGGGAAUAUUGCUCAAUGGGGGAAACCCUGAAGCAGCAACGCCGCGUGGAGGCUGAUGGUUUUCGGCUUGUAAACUCCUUUUGUUAGAGAAGAUUCUGACUGUAUCUAACGAAUAAGCACCGGCUCACUCCGUGCCCGCAGCCUCGGUAAUACGGAGGGUGCAAGCGUUACUCGGCAUCACUGGGCGUAACGGGCGCGUAGGCGGGAUAGCAAGUCAGAUGUGAAAUCCUAUGGCUUAACCAUAGAACUGCAUUUGAAACUGUUAUUCUAGAGUAUGGGAGAGGUAGGAGGAAUGCGUGGUGUAGGGGUAAAAUCCGUAGAGAUCAAGAGGAAUACUGAUUGCGAAGGCGACCUGCGAGAACAUAACUGACGCUGAUGCGCGAAAGCGUGGGGAGCAAACAGGAUUAGAUACCCGGGUAGUC